This 445-nucleotide ribosomal RNA is filed under the name Acinetobacter sp. oral taxon A58. Its description in RNAcentral is "bacterial SSU rRNA". It matches the Rfam family "Bacterial small subunit ribosomal RNA", at positions 30 to 469 of the family's 1533-position model. Lineage: Bacteria; Pseudomonadati; Pseudomonadota; Gammaproteobacteria; Moraxellales; Moraxellaceae. The record is from RNAcentral.
AUUGAACGCUGGCGGCAGGCUUAACACAUGCAAGUCGAGCGGGCGAGGUUGCUUCGGUAACUGAGCUAGCGGCGGACGGGUGAGUAAUGCUUAGGAAUCUGCCUAUUAGUGGGGGACAACAUUCCGAAAGGAAUGCUAAUACCGCAUACGCCCUACGGGGGAAAGCAGGGGAUCUUCGGACCUUGCGCUAAUAGAUGAGCCUAAGUCAGAUUAGCUAGUUGGUGGGGUAAAGGCCUACCAAGGCGACGAUCUGUAGCGGGUCUGAGAGGAUGAUCCGCCACACUGGGACUGAGACACGGCCCAGACUCCUACGGGAGGCAGCAGUGGGGAAUAUUGGACAAUGGGCGAAAGCCUGAUCCAGCCAUGCCGCGUGUGUGAAGAAGGCCUUUUGGUUGUAAAGCACUUUAAGCGAGGAGGAGGCUACCGAGAAUAAUAACCCUUGGAU